UGAACAUUAACAUUUCGAACGCACAUUGCGGUCCUCGGAUACUGUUCCCGGACCACCUCUGGCUGAGAGUCGUAUAACAUUACCAGACUGCCACUUGCUUUAAACGGCUUGCCGGCGAAUGAUGGAGUUUCACGUAUAUGCGUGCUCUUAAAUAAUUCACUCAACGUGUGAGCUAGUCCACUUUGCAACAUCGGACAUUACCGUUUGUUGACGUUCUGUGGAAUUACGGCGGGUUGUGUGUCCUAGAGAUUUUAUAUUCUUGCGACCCUCCCGAUAACCGGAAACCCGAACCCUUCGAAAUGCGGUUUCGUUCCGGCAAAUUUGGACGAUUCAAAGGUUCCUCAUUGAUUUUGCGUGCGCUUGCUUACUAACGUUACUAACGUCCACUGCCAGAUGAUAUAAAUGAUAUGGUAUAGGGUCGUUUUUAAGCGUUCGGCCGGUUGCAAGCACGGACGGUUAUUGGCCGUCGGACCUAGUCCGGCAUCGAUGCCGCCUCGAGCUGUUAGCUUCCGUGUUCUCGGACGGACUCUAUUACCGGUCAGCGAUGCUAUUGCUUUAUGUACUUUCAGGACUCGUCUUGAAACGCGAACCAAGGAGUCUAGCAUGUGCGCGAGUCAUUGGGAAAUACAAAACCUAAAGGCGCAAUGAACGUAAAGGUUUGCUUAGGUAAACUGCGGGAUGACGGACCGCAUCUACGGAUGCGUGCUUGCAAUCCCGAGGCGUCUCACUCUCAUUGCGAGAAGAGACGCACUCAGAGCGUACACGCUAGGACCCGAAAGAUGGUGAACUAUGCCCGGUCAAGUCGAAGUCAGGAAAAACCCUGAUGGAGCACUGUAGCGAUUCUGACGUACAAAUCGAUCGUCGGAACUGGGUAUAGGGGCAAAAGACUAAUCGAACCAUCUAGUAGCUGGUUUCCUCCGAAGUUUUCCUUAGGAUAGCUGGCAUUCGAUGAGCGGGUCUCAUCCGGUAACGCGAAUGAUUAGAGGCCUUAGGGCCAAAACGACCUCAACCCAUUCUCAAACUUUAAAUGGGUGAGAUCUCUGGCUUGCUUGAAUAGUGAAGCCAGAUUUUUGGAUCAUAGUGCCUAGUGGGCCACUUUUGGUAAGCAGAACUGGCGCUGUGGGAUGAACCAAACGCCGAGUUAAGGCGCCUAAACGACGCUAAUGGGAUACCAUGAACGGCGUUGGUUGCUUAAGACAGCAGGACGGUGGCCAUGGAAGUUGGAAUCCGCUAAGGAGUAUGUAACAACUCACCCGCCAAAGCAACUAGCCCUGAAAAUGGAUGGCGCUGAAGCGUCGUACCUAUACUCGGCCGCCAGGGCAUGAGAAACGUUCAUAAUAGUUCGUUUUGACGCCCUGGUGAGUAGGAGGGUCGCGGUGGUGUGCGCAGAAGGGUUUGGGCGUAAGCCUGUCUGGAGCCGCCAUCGGUGCAAAUCUUGGUGGUAGUAGCAAAUACUCCAGCAAGGCCCUGGAGGACUGACGUGGAGAAAGGUUUCGUGUGAACAGCCGUUGCACACGAGUCAGUCGAUCCUAAGCCCCAGGAGAAGUCCUAUGCUGAUGUUGGUGUAUUUUAUUUUGAAUAAAAUUUUACACCCAUCGGGCGAAAGGGAAUCCGGUUACUAUUCCGGAACCCGGCAGCGAAACCGUUUACAAGUAGGGCUCUCGCAAGAGGGUUCGUCGGGGUAACCUGUAUGAGCGUUCGAGUUCCCUGGAAUCUUCUAGAAGGGAGAUAGGGUUUGGAACGCGAAGAGCACCGCUGUUGCGGCGGUGUCCGUAUCUUCCCCUCGAACCUUGAAAAUCCAGGAGAGGGCAACGGUAGGUGUCGCGCCGGUUCGUACCCAUAUUCGCAGCAGGUCUCCAAGGUAAAGAGCCUUUAGUCGAUAGAUAAAUCGGUAAGGGAAGUCGGCAAAUUGGAUCGGUAACUUCGGGAUAAGGAUUGACCCUGAGGAUCGGGGCGUGCCGCGCUUGGUUGGGAAGCGAGCGUAGGCCGAUGUGCCGGGCCUGGGCGAAGUGAAAUUGUCCUUGUGACUUAGAUCCGAGCUCGGUCCCGUGCCUAGACCCCUCGCGGAUCUUUCUUGCUGCGAGGUUUCUGUACCGGCUUCGGUCGGUCAGUCGUACUCUUCGGCCGCCAUUUAACGGUCAGCUCAGAACUGGCACGGACUAGGAAAAUCCGACUGUCUAAUUAAAACAAAGCAUUGCGAUGGCCUUAGCGGGUGUUGACGCAAUGUGAUUUCUGCCCAGUGCUCUGAAUGUCAACGUGAAGAAAUUCAAGCAAGCGCGGGUAAACGGCGGGAGUUACUUUGACUCUCUUAAUGUCUCGUCAUCUAACUAGUGACGCGCAUGAAUGGACUAACGAGAUUCCCACUGUCCCUAUCUACUUUCUAGCGAAACCACUGCCAAGGAAACGGGCUUGGAAAAAUUAGCGGGAAAAGAAGACCCUAUUGAGCUUGACUCUACUCCUGCAUUGUAAGGAGACAUGAAAAGUGUAGCAUAAGUGGGAGAUAGUAAUAUCGUCGGUGAAAUACCAAUACCAUUGUUUCUUUACUUACUCGAUUGGGCGGAAAGCGUGCGUCAAAAACUUGCGUUCCGACUGUCACGGUUUUCUAGAGCCAAGCGCAUAAGAGUGGUGUGAGGCAUUGCGCCGAUCGCCAACAAUACUCUAGCGUGAUCCGAUUCGAGAAAACUGCUAGGCGGAGAGUUUUACUGGGGCGGUACUUCUCUCAAAUAAUAACGCCGGUGUCCUAAGGCCAGCUCAGCGAGGACAGAAACCUCGCGUAGAGUAAAUGGGCAAAUGCUGGCUUGAUCCCGUUGUUCAGUGUGCACAAGGGACUGCGAAAGCAUGGCCUAUCGAUCCUUUUGGCUUGAAGAGUAUUCAGCAAGAGGUGUCAGAAAAGUUACCACAGGGACAACUGGCUUGUGGCAGCCAAGCGUUCAUAGCGACGUUUCUUUUUGAUCUUUCGAUGUCGGCUCUUC
Molecule: ribosomal RNA, 2972 nt
Filed under: Ctenocephalides felis (cat flea)
Lineage: Eukaryota; Metazoa; Arthropoda; Insecta; Siphonaptera; Pulicidae
Description: eukaryotic LSU rRNA
Rfam family: Eukaryotic large subunit ribosomal RNA
Source: RNAcentral